This 10133-nucleotide long non-coding RNA is filed under the name Homo sapiens (human). RNAcentral's name for it is "non-protein coding MEIS1-AS3:6". The record is from RNAcentral. Lineage: Eukaryota; Metazoa; Chordata; Mammalia; Primates; Hominidae.
AGUCCCUAUUCCCGCCCUGAAGGUGGCCAAAAGGCUGACUCCCUCCAAGCAGCCCGCCCGCGCCUCCAUCGCCCCCACCCACGUCCCACUCGCCAGCUGCGGACUGAACCCUCACCCUCAAGGGGGUGUAGGUAGGGAAAGAGUUUUGAGCAAGAUUGGGGGUAUCCCUUCAUCCGAAGAUUGUUUGGGAAAGGUUAGGAGCUCUAAAAUGUAUUGAAGCCAACUCUUAAGCGCAAAGUAAAAGAUAAUUUGCGUCCGUCUGCGAGGUAGGACUGAAGAUUCUAUAGAGUGGGCUUCCGAGGAGCAGGAGACACAGGGCGAGCAUGAGAACAUAGGUCUGGAAUGAGGUUCCACCGAGCGUCCGUAGUCUCCUUAGGCGACAUCUAUCGCUUCCUUUAGCACUUCGCAGGAGUCAACGCGGGGUUGGUUGCCCCCAACAGUGGAGCGUUUCCAUAAAGCCGAGCAGAUGAGCCUUCCCAGCCGCCUGCACUGCACCCUUCCCCGCCCCCAACUCCGUACUGGCACCCUGUGUGCCUGAAGGGCUGACACACGUUCUCCCAAAACCUUCAGAAGCGCUUUGCCUUGAAAGAGCUCUCCCUCGUGUGUGUGUGUGUGUGUGUGUGUGUGUGUGUGUGUGUGUGUGUGUGUGUGUGUUUAAACCAUCUCCAGGAUCCCUUAUCAUUUGCUUCCUCUCUCCUUUUUCUCUCUGUUUCUCCCUGUCUUUUUUCUGACGCUUAAGUUUCAGGAUCUUUUAGUUUUUUUCCAUCACAUACAUGUGUAGGUUUUCUGGUACAAACGCCCUGAAACAUCACUUGGGAGGUUAAGACAGGCCCGCGAGUAAAAGCUGGGGACGGAGUGGGUGGGCAGCCAGGUGCAUUACCAGCGCCUUUAUGCCUCUGCCUACACUUCCCGGCCUCCCCCCAUCCCCCCACCCCCCCACCCCACGCCUCACCGUCGCUCCCCGGCCCCACAACAUGAACUUGGAAGCAGAAUUUCAGGCCAAGAUGGAACCUCCCCGUCUCAGGAAGGCGAUUUCUGUUUAAUCCUUGGGAGGCUGCGCUGGCUGGGCCAGGCAGCACGCUCCUUUUCCGAUUAGGGAAAGGACUAAGCUGGGCCGGCAGUCUGCGACCCCUUCCCGGAACCCCAGCCGACUUCGGGGUAUACCUGAGCGCCUUCCGAUGGCUGCUCGCGGGGGUGUGAUCAUCGUCCCCGCAUCAGGCCCGCCAGGCAUCUGCGCGACUCGGGGGUAGGAGGGAGAUGCGUGGGUGGGAGGUGGGGGUCAAACCAAACACCGACAGGGCACACCUACGUUUAUGAUCCUUAAAUGAACUGCGAGGGAAAUUGUGUAAGUAUAAUUUAACUGAGAGAAAUUUAUUGCGAAAUACGCUUAGAGGACUGUGGUCUUUAACAGCCUCAGGGGUUCUUCGGCAAAGAGGUAACGGGGCUUGGAUUUACCACAACUCUGCGGCCACGUUUUCAAAUUUGGAAAAGCACAGAUGAGAAAAGAAGGUUCAGGUAAGUCACCCUUUGCAAACAUAACCAAAAUCUUCAAAGCAGGAGGAAGACUAGACGACUGCAUGCUUUAACCAUGAUGUGCCAGAUUACCUUAAAAAUGUACUUUAAAUUACCUACACACAAAUUUUCCUUAAAGAAUGAGAUAGUUUGAGUUUGCGGACUUAAAAUCAACUCAGUAGUUUUGAAAAGUGCCCCUCCCCCCCCCCACAGUCUUUCCAUUUUAAACUGUGAACCUAAUAUAACUUCUAGGCCUUUAUACAAUUAAUUCUGAACAAUCAAGGGACUAAACACUUUUACAAUGUAAUUACAGUAGUACAAAUUGUUUGCCCAAACCUCAUUCUGGAUAAGGAUUUUACAAUUAGCAAACAGUUAUUACAGUUGGGGCUUGCUGAGAGAAAUUGCACAGAGGAUGUCUAGAGUUGCAAUAUAGUAGCCAUAAAAAAAAAAAAAACUCCUUUAGCAGGGCAGCAAUUAAUCAUCUAUUAAAAGGAAACAAAUGAAGGGACAGGUCUAGGUAUCUUAGUAAACUACUGUCAAUAUUUAUGCCCAUUUUUUGACAGCCCCUAUUCCUAACUUAUUUCAGAUACUUGCUUUUUUAAGGCAAUAGCACUUUUAUUUUGCAAAAACUUGGCCUGGUGAAAACUUCUGGCACUUGGCCCUAGCUCUUGCGAUUCAGGCCUUCCGUUCUCUUCUCAUCCUUCUUAUCUCAGAGCAUCUUUCCAGAGAUAGAGAACGGUGACAAAAGGAGGCAGACUGGGCCCUUGGUCUCUAUUGUUUACACCCUCCUGUAUGGAGGCAUUUCAAGCCCUCAGUGCUCCUCUGAGCUGCUGGUAAAGUCGUCUCGGAGAACUCCCCUGACUUUAUGUUCUAUAAGGAAUUGUGCUUCUGGAAAGAUCUAUAUCCUAAAUUAGGCUUUUGUCCCAAAAGGUCACACUGAUGAGUCAGCUCCAAAACCCUUAGAAACUAAAGAGGCACCUCUUAAGGUAAAACGUGUGUGUAUUUGCCAGCCCAGAAUAAACAAAAGCCUGUUAAUCAAUCGAGUUUGGCAGCUGUGUUCACAAAAUGAUAAGGGUUUAUCAUUUGCCACCAAACUUUAAGAUGUCCCUUAAAAUGCUGUGAUUGGUUUUUAGGUUGUCCUGUGGUGUGGAGGCUUGGCGUUUGUAUUUCAAAAACAUUCAUCCUCUGCAUCUCUCCCCCUCACUAGCAUUGACAUUUCAAAAAAACAGAAAUAAGAGGAGGGAGGGAAAGAUAGUUUAAAGAAAAUAGAUUCGAAAUCUAGUACAGAUAAUAGAGGAAUGCUGGAGAUAAGAGCCUGGAGGUGAUAUGAGAAAGGCACCAAGAAGUCAAAGCUAAUGAAUGGCUGUGAGAAAAGUGAAAUAAACUAUUGAGAGAUCUAUUAAAGGGGGAAACCUGGUUAGGUGAUAUCAAAGGGGGUUAACUGAGAGGAUUAGGGAGGAUGUUAAUCAAGUGCUCUAAAGCAUUACAGGCUAUAAGGACUGAAAGAUUUGUUUACUGCAUUUUGCUUCAGAAAACAAAGAAUGUCUGGGUCCAGUUCAGAAGUCAAUUAGAGGUCAGCUUAGGCUCUCCAAGGGUUGCAGGGAAAAUACCUAAGUUACUAUAUUCUGACUGGAUGAUGCAAAAAUUAGGGAAAAAAAAUGGGGGGUGAGAGGGAGGUGCUUUCCUUACUAUUCUAUUUCAAAUCAUUAAAAUGCUUUGGUCUCUAGGGGGGAAAAAACUACACUGGUUAACAUAAUUACUAGCUCUGACAUUUUCAGAAGUUAUAGAGGUCUUUUAUUAAUUAAAUGGAGGGCUUAAUAAAGUAUUCCUAAUAAAAUUUAUGGUUGUCUUAAAACUUUCUAAACAGUGCUAUAAAUUCUUAAUAAAAUUAACUGGGAAAUGAGUUAUUAGCCCACACUUUACCCUCCCCCCCAAACUGCUACAUAAGGAGUGUCUGCAGAAUGAAAAGGAAAUAGAAGCCUUUUAGUAAAAUAUAAAUAUUAGCCAAAGUCAUGCAUUGCUCUGAAAGAGGCAAAGUCCCAACUGUUGUUUCUACUGGCCUCAUUCUCCAAUAUCCCCCAAAAGCUAUCCCACAAAACUUCAUCAAGAGAAUUUAUUCCCCUUCCCAAGUACCUAUUAUAUAUGCAUUUAUGUGUAAGUGCAUUUGAAAUACAACCUUCAAUUUUGUGGACUGAGUUGUAUGUUAAAUGUAGUAAAAAACAUAGAUGCAUCAUGCAAAGUUCCGCUAUAGAAUCUUCAAGUCUCACGGUGCAAAUACUUUCUUUAUUUUUAAUUAAAAAUAAAAUGCCCUGUAAUUUCUCUCACUUUAAUUUCUAUAAAGAUAACUUUUAAAUGAUAAAUUUCUAAAUAACAUUUUUCUCUGAAGUUAUUUAAAAGUGUAUUUUCUGAAGCAACAUUUUGUUGACAUAUGCAAAACCUUUUUAUAUCAUUACGUUUCAAAACUUUUAGUGAGUUAUCUUAAGUUUUCAGGUACUUCACUGCUUCACAGAUACAAUGCUGGCUGGUUAGCUAUUUUAAAGAAGAUCACACACAUACACUUCAAACCACAGCAGCCUUGGUGAAUUGUUUAGCAUUUGAAGGCUUGAUCUUUUGUGCCGUCUACUGGACAAUAGAAAAACUGCAGCCUUGAUGACAAACUUUAAUCUUGUUUUACGGGGGUGGGAGGUGGUGGUUGGGGGUAUGAUUUGGUGCUGGUAACUAACAAGAGAAAACCACAGUACCCAACUUAGACUCAUAGGACAGGUCUUGGGGUCUAACCAUGUUUUUCAAAUCCAAAGAUAGGAUAUGAUAUCAAUCAUAGGUGUAUAGCUCAAACACUUGAUUAAGGCACAAGGCUAAAACCUACAUUGAAUACAGCUGUGCAUGUGUGUGUACCCAUAUGCCUAAACUUGGGAAGACAGCCUGGGAAAAGAAAGGAAGAUAGGACAGAUUCAACAACUCUGAAAACAAAAACAAAAACAAAAAACAAAAAACAGUAGUGGUUGCUUGACACUGAGGAUGAAUUUGCUUGACAGUCAAGUUAAAUCUAUCUACUGCCUCGAUAAUCUAGCAUGUACAAAUCAGUUCUUGGAAUUUGGAAAGUGACAUUGGUAAUCAAGAAAAAAAACCCUUUAGGAGAGGGGAAAUGACACUGGUAAUUAUAAAAGUUUUAGUGCAGUUCCCUUUUGGCAAUUUGGGAUGAAAAUGUAAAACUUCAGUGUUUUCACUUGGAGAGCACAAGUGUUAGAAAGUGUGGGUGAAAUUCACAGUCAGACAACUUCAUAUGGCAGAGACCAUUUGAUGUUCUCUUAAACAUUAAGAAACAUUGUGCACAUUUUGGUUGUGAUUUAAAAAAGAAAACAUUUAUAGAUCUCUAGCAUUGUGGAAGCUUUGUAAAAAAAAAAAAAAAAAAGCAUGAAGCUAACUUUGACCUCUGUUCGACAGUGACAGUUUCUGAAGUAAUCACUGUUACCAUAGAGAAGUGAUUUUGUGAUUUAAGAAACAAAUAAGCCCAAUGCCCCCCAAAUAUAUAUCUGUAUAUGUAUCUAUGUGUGUAUAGACACACACACACACACAUACACAUACAUGGAGAAGUCAAGCUGAUUUUGUCCAAGAGACAUAGACUUUGGUGCAAGCACUUUUAAAAUUGUUCAUGUGCUUUUCUGAAGUUAAAACUCCUUAUCGCAUUUUAAUAAAACUUGCCAGCACUUGACUAGGUAUUAGGGCGUCUUUUAAUAAAAACCUAAUAGUGAAAAGGAGACAGCUUUAGGACAUUUUAUUGUGCAUAAAUAUAUUUCAAUGAUCUACUUCAAUAUACAUUUCGAUGUGGCACUAUGUCAGAAUGACUUUAAAAUAUUGGAUUAAAUAUAGAUACAUCAAGAGAAUCUGAACUGACAUUGGCUACUUAAAGCAGCGAGAUUGCUUGCACUGCUGUAUUAGAGCCUCAGUUGUUCUAUAUAAAUGGAGGUGUUGGUGGUGGGUGUCUUUUAAACUUUAGUAUAAACCACUGAACUGUGAAAGGUUAUUAUUUUAUGAGAUGCUGUUUGGAGUCAUUUUUUGAGAUGCUGUUUGGUCUAGAUCAGAAAACCAACCAAAAAGAAAAAAAAAUCCUCAUAACAAUAGCUUGAAAAUGUAGAAAAUUCUUCCAGGAACUAAUCACAAGUGCAUACACGUUUGAUAUAUUCUAAACUAAUAGUUGAAGUACUGAGUGCUGGAAGAGGUCUGGCGAACGUGCUCUAGUCACUAAUAGCAAACAUUUACCUUUGAAGCAACAGGAUGAGUCACACUGGCCAUGCUUAGCAUCCAUGUUCGACUGGAUAAAGGGGCAUAUUUUGUGAAAACCUUCAGGCAAAAAUCUUACUGAUUAUUCAAAAAUAAAUAUUUUAACAUUUCAUUGAGCUAUCUAAUGAAUAAGGAAAACAUCGAAGGCUUCCUGCGGCGCAGAAAGAAUUCUAGCAGCGUCAAAAACAUAAAGGAGCAAAGAACAAGAGGAAGCUGAAGGACGCCUGCUGAGUAGUUAUUCACUUGUGAAUAUCUGAAAACGUGCUUUUCUGUGCCCUUAUUUAAAAAUGAAAAACAAAUAUCAUCUUUCUUUGUCCUUUUAAAAAAAUUAACGUCAGAAUAUGGCUAUGCUAGCUAAACAUCAUUUUUUUUUUUCCAGGCGAUUUAUGCGAGAAAGGGCCAAUUUGAACACUGGUAACUAGUGGGAGAAAUAAACUUAUAAGCCACAAACACAUCGGUUCGCAACCGAGCCCACAGCCCCGCGAGGCGCCCCUUCUUCCCAGCUCCCGGAGGAUAACUUCAUUGACUGGCAGGUCGGCGGCCACUUCUGGGAGGGCCACUGUUUACCGAAUGAGAACCUCUCAUGGCACAGUCCUUACAGCAGGGCUGCCCUGUCGCCCUUGCGCGUCCGGGUGCCGGGUCCCGGCGGUGUUCUGCAGCGCGAUCCGGUCCCCGUGCCCUGAGCCACCCAGAGCCCUGGGCCUGCCUGCACCCUGGGGCGCGCUGACUCCCUGGGUCGGGUGGGGGUCCCGGCAGGAUGCACUUCCAGCUGCGGGGUCCGCGGAGUUUGCUCGCACCUGGUUUGGCGCAGGGACGUAGGUUUGGGGGACUGUGUCCCCUGGGAAGAGCAAAAGGUGAAAAGGUCCCCUCUCCCACCAGUGUGCCCCAUCCCCGCCAGUUUUGACUGCGAUCCUAUUUUUCUCUUUGGGGGUCGCCUCAGCCUGUGCCGGAGGGAGUUGGGAGUUGGUCAGGCUUGGGCAGCGGUGGGUGGCAGCCCGGGAGCCGGAGCAGGAGCGCGAGGACCCGCGGACUGGGGCGCAGCGACGAUGGCGCACCGGCUUCUGUCUUCUGCUGCUUUGGGGCUGAGCAUCCGAGGGCGCCUUUCUCCCCAGCUGGACUCGGGGACGCCGGAUCACCCCGCCACCUGCCUCUUGGCCUAAUUCUGGAAGCUUCUCGCCUCCGUUCCUGGACGGCUCUUCCUCAGGGGCAGCAAUGAGCCCCGGGGUGCGCUCAUCUCCUCCGAGAUCAAUUGCUCUACGAUUCCUUUUAGGACUUGCAGGGGGGAGAGGUUGGGGACCCCGGCCCCAGAGUGGCUCCUGCGGCACGGCGGCCCACUCGGAGGGGUCGCAACAAGCGCGCAUUUGUGGCCAAGGUUGUGAUUUCAGGUGCGCUAAUGGGAUCAGACGUCCUGGGAGAAGCGUGAGGGGAUUGGUGCCGUUCCUUCUCCCGGCUUCCAGCGGCCGCCGGGUGGAAGUGGGGACACAGGAGGGCCGCGCUACGGGCGCCCAGCGCGGGCGCUCACACCUCUUGAGGAGGCGUGGAACCCAGCGCCCCAGGUGGGGGUAGGGCGCGGGGGUAUAGGUAGUGAGGGGUGACGCUGGGAGAGGACCGGGAGACGGAGGAAAGGAGACAGCCGGGGACACUACUGAGAGAGGGAGUAAGAGAGUGCGCUGCAGAACCGGGGACAGAGCGGCAGAACCGACCGAGAGCUGGAAUUGGAUUGCGUCCUGUCCCAGCACCAGGACACAGAUAAACAGCCUCCCAGCACUGGUACUCGCCAGAGAAGGGGAAACCCGCGUCCCGCGCUGCUGCUUUCUGCUUCGGAGAACCUUAUCUAGACUUUUGCAUAAUUGCGUGUUGGCUUUCCUAAAUAAUUCGGAAGAGCGAUUUCUGCUUCCACUUGUUCACAUAGGCAAACAAUCCCUGUGGGGAAAAUGUGUGUGUGUGUGUGUGUGUGUGCGCGCGCGCGCGCGCGCGUUCCGGUGACAAUUGAGGCCAGAGGCAAACACAUCCUCUUUCAAAAUGUCCCUUAGGUGAUCCCGUAAAUGACUGUCCUGCUCUAGGCAGUGGGAGUCAUCAUCCACUGGGUAGGGGGCUGUGAUUACUCUGCCUAGGGACCACUUUUCACAGCUCCUUCCCCACCGUAGAUAAGGGUGUUAAAUCAAGGCAUUUAGUUCUACUUUUCCAUUGCACAGAUAAGCAAGCUGAGACCCAGAUAGGUUAAGUGAAGUAUCCAAUUUCUUCUCUCCUUUUCUUUUCUGUAUGCCUCAAGAUGGUUUUAUACACACACACACACACACACAUACAUACACACACACACACACCCUGAACUACGAAAAACAUCACAACUACGGAAGAAACAUUUUUUACUCUUCUUAUUUCCUAAGAAGACCAAAAGUCAGAGCUUGUCUUCUGUCAGAAGCAGAUGGGUGUGUGAUGGCAGUGUGUGAGUGUGCAAGUGUGGGGGGGCUGGGCGUUGGCGCCAUCCUUCCUCCUUCCCUGCUCCAUCCCUGACUCCAUCACCGAGCCCCUUCAGGGAAACACAAGGCAGGAGGUUGUACCGCUAUGCAGAAGACCCCUCCAGGUAGGGAGCUUGAAGAAAUGAAACAGCAGGGAGAACCUGUAUUUGGUGGUGAAAGUGCUGGAAUCUUCUAGGCCUUGCUCAUCUCCAACCAGCUACUUCUCCAAAAUAAAGCAAAACAAAACAAAACAAAACAAGGCAAACAACAACCACCACAGGCCUUUUGCAUCAACUUCCUGUGACUAAGUGACCCUAAGCAGAGAACUGGCUCAGGUCACUUAGGGCAGGGGUAGGACAUUGAAGGCCUUAUUUACUCCAGGAUUAAAAACAGCAUCCCCUCUAACCCUGUCUCUCUUGGGCAGCCUGUCUUUUAAGGAUGUGAAAAGCAGCUUCUUGGAGUCUAAACAGGCACAAUACCCCACUGGGAUGUUUAGGUAUCAGGUUCACAAAAACAGCAUUUUACUCCUGCUUCCCCGAACCCCUUUGCAACCCAGGCUACCAUACUCUUUGCAAGAAUAUCCGGUAUCUUUUCCGGGCAAAAUGAAUUGAGUUGGCACUUCCUGAAAUAUUUUUAUUUUUAGCUUCAAAUAAUUUUGCUCCUAAAACAAAUUAGUUACUUAUCCUCUUCUCACCAUGCCCUAAUUAUUUUUAGCUUUAUUCUAAUUUUUUUUGUUACCUUGAAUUUUGUCUUGAUUUGAGAGUUUGGUAUAGAAUACUUGUUUGCAGACUGGUAAUCUGCAGUUUAUUUUGUUUUUAAAAAACUCUGUGAAGUUUACUGUUGUUUUAAAACUCAUGGAAUAUUAACAAAAAAUAACCUAAUAAUAUUCUUCGAGGCUUAAACUUUGGUUAUAGUCUAUGUCCUAGCCUAGCUUUUAUGAUAAGCCUGUUGCAUUUUAAAGGUGCUUAUUGAUUCACAUGUCUUUCAGUAAAAAAUCUUUUGAGGAACCCAGACUUUUGAAAGCUAUUUAAUUUGCAUGUAUUUGGUCAUUACAGGCUAAAACUGAAGAAUGAGUUUGGAAAUUGGUUCUAUUAGAAAACACUGUUUGCACAUCCAAAUGUUCCCAGUCAAGAUUUCCCAAUAGUGGCAGUGAGAAAGAGAGGCAGAGAGAAUUAGGAUACUUGGGUUCAAAUUUUAGCUUAGUCACUGAUGGGCUGAUUGAGUGAGAAGAACUUAAUCACCUGCAAAAUGAAUUGCUUACAGUAUUUUGAUCUCUAAAUACACUUUUGAUUCUGAUAUUUAAUGAUUUUGUAUUACAAAAUUGGGCAGAAAACGCAUAGCUUCAUAACAAGCAAAAAAUUUUACUGUUAACACAUCAUACUUAUUUUAGAGUAAAUUUGAAGGAGGUUGAUGUUUUGGAAUUUGGUUGGAGAGUUAUCCAAAAGCAAUGUUUCCCUGACUCAACUACAACCAAUUACACACAGUGGCCAGUAGGAAAAGGAUUAAGUUGUCCAGACAAAAUAUAAUGGUAACAAAAAAUAAUCUUGUGCUUUUGACAUCUUUCUGUUUACUUGUUUUUGUCUUGUUCUAAUGCCCCCUGAAUUACUAUUUUCUAAAAAACAGUCUCAUCUAAAAUAAAACAUAGUAAUGUGUUUUCAAAUGAGACAUUUUAUUGUAGUUACGAUUUCUUUUGUAUAUUUUCCUAAUGCAGACUACAAUAAAUACACUAAAAUAUUUCAAAUGGUUUGCUUGUGUAUAUGCUCUUAAGUCGUCUUUAUCCCACUUUGGGAAGCAUAUGCUGUGUUCUGAACAGUUUUAACUUUAUAUAUCAGCAUGACUAAGUCCUUUCAACAACUAUCACGCAAAGACCACGGAGAGCAG